This 464-nucleotide ribosomal RNA is filed under the name uncultured bacterium. Its description in RNAcentral is "partial 16S ribosomal RNA". It matches the Rfam family "Bacterial small subunit ribosomal RNA", at positions 28 to 507 of the family's 1533-position model. The record is from RNAcentral.
GGCGAACGCUGGCGGCGUGCUUAACACAUGCGAGUCGAACGGAAAGGCCCAGCUUGCUGGGUGCUCGAGUGGCGAACGGGUGAGUAACACGUGGGUGAUCUGCCCCUAACUUCGGGAUAAGCUUGGGAAACUGGGUCUAAUACCGGAUAGGACAAUCGUUUAGUGUCGGUUGUGGAAAGUUUUUUCGGUUAGGGAUGAGCCCGCGGCCUAUCAGCUUGUUGGUGGGGUAAUGGCCUACCAAGGCGUCGACGGGUAGCCGGCCUGAGAGGGUGGACGGCCACAUUGGGACUGAGAUACGGCCCAGACUCCUACGGGAGGCAGCAGUGGGGAAUAUUGCACAAUGGGCGCAAGCCUGAUGCAGCGACGCCGCGUGGGGGAUGACGGCCUUCGGGUUGUAAACCUCUUUCGACAGGGACGAAGCUUUGGUGACGGUACCUGUAUAAGAAGCACCGGCUAACUACGUG